Molecule: long non-coding RNA, 510 nt
Filed under: Phoenix dactylifera (date palm)
Lineage: Eukaryota; Viridiplantae; Streptophyta; Magnoliopsida; Arecales; Arecaceae
Description: long non-coding RNA (PDAC_LNC022897)
Source: RNAcentral
AAGGAUCUUUUAGGGAUAAUGCAGUGUAUGGCCGGAGGCUUUCGGAAAGGUGGUGUUCAUGCGCGCGCUCGCUCGCCCUAGAGGUGGCCUUCUUUAAUGGGAGUGAAAGGAUGACAGUAAAAAAAGGUAAAAAGGUUAAGGGAAAUCGUAGCUUUAUUAGUGUGCUUCUGCUGCUUCAGUUAACAACUUCUUGAGUUUAUGAACUGCAGCUCACCAAACAUGGCGGAUCCAAUUUUAAUUAAUUAUAGUGGAAAAAGGCGUAUGGCAAGGUAGAACUUGACAAAAAUUCAGAUAGGAAAUUGUUCAACAAAAUAUGCAUAUAGGCAAGGUAGAAUGUAGAUGUUGAAUUUGUCGAAAUAAGAAUUUAAAGUGUCGAACUUUCUUUUUCUUUUUCUCAGAAAAUUGAGAGCAAACUAGAUUUACAGAAAGUUGCUCGCUUCCGUCGGUGGCGCAUACCAGAUUUAACUUUGAAUCUUAAACAUCCUCAAAACAAUUUCUUAAUUGAUUCAG